This 179-nucleotide non-coding RNA is filed under the name Candidatus Zhuqueibacterota bacterium 4484_188. RNAcentral's name for it is "candidate division KSB1 bacterium 4484_188 6S RNA". It matches the Rfam family "6S / SsrS RNA". From Rfam's summary of the family: E. coli 6S RNA was the first non coding RNA to be sequenced, but its function was unknown until recently. RNAcentral also lists the same sequence under 1 other name. Lineage: Bacteria; Pseudomonadati. The record is from RNAcentral.
UAGUCCCUGGAUCGUUUAGGACGUGUAUUUGGGAAGAACCAACACUAUGAAUAUGGGAGCUUGACUCUGAGCGUCUAGUGCAGGCCUUCUGUUGCGAAGGAGCGCGAACCGUUUAGGCAGGCACCCACCGUGUAGAUCACGGUUCUUUUCCAAAUCCGUUCUUUCGAUUCAGGGCUUUU